AACAGUCUGGCAGAUUCUCAAAAGUUUGGAUGUAGAGUUUGCAUAUGACCCAGCAAUUCCACUCCAGGUAUUUACCCCAGAGCAAUGGAGACGUAGAGUCACAUAGAAAAACUUGUACAUAAAUGUUCAUAGCAGUGUUUUGCGUAAUAGCCCCGAAGUAGAAACAAUCUCAAUGUCCAUCGGCUGCUGAAUGGAGAAACAGAUGUACUAUGGAUAAAAAAAAUGGAGCAUAUCCAUACAAUGGAAUAUGAUGUGGUCACCAAAAAAAGAAUAUCGUACACUACAAUAUGAAUGGACCUCAAAAGCAUUAUGGCAGCCCCUGGGCUCCACUGCCUGCUCCCCAGACGGCAGACUCCGGACGCCUCCCCUUUCCUCCGCCCCAGCCUGUCCACCGUCUCCCCAGCAGGCCGUCUCCACCCGCGUCAGAAUCCUGGGUCUCCAGGGCUGCAGGAGGGCUCGGACCGGGUGUGACUUGCAGCUCCGGGCGGAAUUCAGCCUGCAGGAGUCUUGUUUGCAGAGGAUCAGGUUGUUCUCAAACUUGAAGUGUGCCUGGAGGGAGGAGGAAGAGCUCACUGGAUUGGACCAGGGGACUGAAGGGCAGGGAGGGGGACGGGAAGAGGAGACAGUGGAACCAAUCGGAGGUCACUUUCCCUUGUUCAUAUAUGAACUCGCUGCCAGUGGAACGCCACAUCCUGUCCAGCCACCAGAAUGAGAAUCUAAUUAGAAGUUACACUGCGUGUAUGUAUAAUAUGUCAAAAUAUAUCCUACUGUCCUGUGUAU
This is a long non-coding RNA of Sciurus carolinensis (gray squirrel), 780 nucleotides long. RefSeq lists it as uncharacterized. The transcript is spliced from 3 exons. The record is from RefSeq and is a predicted model, not a curated record. NCBI's taxonomy places the organism in Eukaryota, Metazoa, Chordata, Mammalia, Rodentia, Sciuridae.